GGGCGCAUAGCUCAGUCGGUAGAGCAUUCGCCUUUUAAGCGACAGGUCCUAGGUUCGAAUCCUAGUGCGCCCACCA
This 76-nucleotide transfer RNA is filed under the name Rhodospirillaceae bacterium. RNAcentral's name for it is "tRNA-Lys". It matches the Rfam family "tRNA". From Rfam's summary of the family: Transfer RNA (tRNA) molecules are approximately 80 nucleotides in length. Their secondary structure includes four short double-helical elements and three loops (D, anti-codon, and T loops). Lineage: Bacteria; Pseudomonadati; Pseudomonadota; Alphaproteobacteria; Rhodospirillales; Rhodospirillaceae. RNAcentral also lists the same sequence under 1 other name. The record is from RNAcentral.